This 99-nucleotide small RNA is filed under the name Arabidopsis thaliana (thale cress). Its description in RNAcentral is "ATSL070530". The record is from RNAcentral. Lineage: Eukaryota; Viridiplantae; Streptophyta; Magnoliopsida; Brassicales; Brassicaceae.
GACUAUUGGUUUGGGGAACAACAUUUUGUGUCGUAUUACGAUACAGAAACAAAGAACCUCAGAAGAUUUGAUAUUGAAGGAAUGGUUGAUCAAGAUGAU